GUCCCUGUAGCGCAAUGGAUAACGCGUUGGACUUUUAAUCCAAACCUCGCGGUUUCAAAACCCACCUGGGAUG
Non-coding RNA from Trichonephila clavipes, 73 nucleotides. The record is from the annotation of a GenBank genome assembly. NCBI's taxonomy places the organism in Eukaryota, Metazoa, Arthropoda, Arachnida, Araneae, Nephilidae.